RNAcentral lists this ribosomal RNA (744 nucleotides) under Staphylococcus sp. MJ610. RNAcentral describes it as "bacterial SSU rRNA". It matches the Rfam family "Bacterial small subunit ribosomal RNA", at positions 58 to 784 of the family's 1533-position model. The record is from RNAcentral. Lineage: Bacteria; Bacillati; Bacillota; Bacilli; Caryophanales; Staphylococcaceae.
CAAGUCGAGCGAACAGAUAAGGAGCUUGCUCCUUUGACGUUAGCGGCGGACGGGUGAGUAACACGUGGGUAACCUACCUAUAAGACUGGGAUAACUUCGGGAAACCGGAGCUAAUACCGGAUAACAUUUGGAACCGCAUGGUUCUAAAGUGAAAGAUGGUUUUGCUAUCACUUAUAGAUGGACCCGCGCCGUAUUAGCUAGUUGGUAAGGUAACGGCUUACCAAGGCGACGAUACGUAGCCGACCUGAGAGGGUGAUCGGCCACACUGGAACUGAGACACGGUCCAGACUCCUACGGGAGGCAGCAGUAGGGAAUCUUCCGCAAUGGGCGAAAGCCUGACGGAGCAACGCCGCGUGAGUGAUGAAGGGUUUCGGCUCGUAAAACUCUGUUAUUAGGGAAGAACAAAUGUGUAAGUAACUGUGCACGUCUUGACGGUACCUAAUCAGAAAGCCACGGCUAACUACGUGCCAGCAGCCGCGGUAAUACGUAGGUGGCAAGCGUUAUCCGGAAUUAUUGGGCGUAAAGCGCGCGUAGGCGGUUUCUUAAGUCUGAUGUGAAAGCCCACGGCUCAACCGUGGAGGGUCAUUGGAAACUGGGAAACUUGAGUGCAGAAGAGGAAAGUGGAAUUCCAUGUGUAGCGGUGAAAUGCGCAGAGAUAUGGAGGAACACCAGUGGCGAAGGCGACUUUCUGGUCUGUAACUGACGCUGAUGUGCGAAAGCGUGGGGAUCAAACAGGAUUAGAUA